Small nuclear RNA from Nycticebus coucang (slow loris), 107 nucleotides. The record is from RefSeq and is a predicted model, not a curated record. NCBI's taxonomy places the organism in Eukaryota, Metazoa, Chordata, Mammalia, Primates, Lorisidae.
GUGCUUGCUUCGGCAGCACAUAUACUAACGUUGGAACGAUACAGAGAAGAUUAGCACGGCCCCUGCACAGGGAUGACACACACAUUCAUGAAACGUUGCAUAAAAAA